Molecule: ribosomal RNA, 429 nt
Filed under: uncultured bacterium
Lineage: Bacteria
Description: bacterial SSU rRNA
Rfam family: Bacterial small subunit ribosomal RNA
Source: RNAcentral
UGGGGAAUAUUGCACAAUGGGCGAAAGCCUGAUGCAGCGACGCCGCGUGGAGGAUGAAGGUUUUCGGAUUGUAAACUCCUGUUAAGUGGGAAGAAAGACACUUACCUAAUACGUAAGUGGGAUGACGGUACCACUAGAGAAAGCACCGGCAAACUUCGUGCCAGCAGCCGCGGUAAUACGAAGGGUGCGAGCGUUAUUCGGAAUAACUGGGUGUAAAGGGCGUGCAGGCGGCCUAUUAAGUCAAUCGUUAAAGAGCUCAGCUUAACUGGGCAAAGGCGAGUGAAACUGGUUGGCUAGAGUUUGGGAGAGAAGAGUGGAAUUCUCGGAGUAGCGGUAAAAUGCGUAGAUCUCGAGAGGAACACCGGUUGCGAAGGCGGCUCUUUGGCCCAACACUGACGCUUAAGCGCGAAAGCGUGGGGAGCAAACAGG